RNAcentral lists this unclassified non-coding RNA (1886 nucleotides) under uncultured fungus. Its description in RNAcentral is "sequence contains 18S rRNA gene, ITS1, 5.8S rRNA gene, ITS2, 28S rRNA gene". The stretch from base 944 to 1886 matches the Rfam family "Eukaryotic large subunit ribosomal RNA", at positions 1 to 962 of the family's 3401-position model. Lineage: Eukaryota; Fungi. The record is from RNAcentral.
AGAUGGAUCAUUCAAUUUCCUUUUUUGGGACUCUGGUUGUGACGAAAAAUCCACAUUAGCUUAUGUAGUCCUGCAGUUCUGUUCACUCAGAACUGCUAUACCGGUGAAAUCUGCCGAGCAUGUGGUCCAUUGAGACAUCGUACUGACUGUGUGGUUAUAAUGAGACACUGUAUUUGGGACACUGGUUCUAGUGAAAAAUCGGAAUGGUUAUGUGGUGGUAAUGAGAAAACUUAUUAAGAACGUGGUCCUAGUGAGAAGUCGAAUCUGGCUGUGAUUGUAGUGAGAAAUCGAAUCUGGCUGUGGUUGUAGUGAGAAGUCGAAUCUGGAUGUGGUAUUAUUGAGACAAUGAAUUAAGCAAGUGGUUGUAGUGAGAAGUCGAAUCUGGCUGUGGUGCUAAUGAGAAAUCGAAUCUGGCUGUGGUAUUAUUGAGAUACUGAAUUAAGCAUGUGGUGUUAUUGAGAAAUCGAAUCUGGCUGUGGUAUUAUUGAGAUACUGAAUUAAGCAUGUGGUGUUAUUGAGAAAUCGAAUCUGGCUGUGGUAUUAUUGAGAUACUGAGUUAUGCAUGUGGUUGUCCUAAGUGAAUAGAAUGUUUACUGGUAGAAGUCGUGUAAAAAUCUAUCUUAGUGCAUGUGGUCGGUUGUCCUAAAUUUUAAGAGAUAAUUCCAUUUACGCCUCUCAGCGAUGGAUGUCUCGGAUCUCGUAACGAUGAAGAACGCAGCUAGCUGCGAGAUGCAGUGUGACAUGCGAACUUCUGUGAAUCAUUAGAUUUUUGAACGCAAACGGUACUCUUAAAUUUUUUUAGGAGUAUGUUCACUUCAGUGCUUUCAUAUAUUUGUUAACCUAAUGAGUGGUUAACGUGAUUAGUUGCUGUGAUUGCGGUAACUGUAAGCUAAUGAUAAUGGCUUUUAGGUGACGCUUUGAAGACCGUUAUUACACUAUAAAUAAGCCUGAAUUUGAGCAAGUGUACCCGCUGAACUUAAGCAUAUUAUUAAGCGGAGGAAAAGAAACUAACUAGGAUUCCCCUAGUAACUGCGAGUGAACAGGGAAGAGCUCAAACUGGAAAUCGACAGUUUUCUGUUGAAUUGUAGUCUCAUGAAAUGCAGCCUGUAGAUAUUGUGAGUUAAGUCUCUUGGAAAAGAGUACCAAAGAGGGUGAAAGUCCCGUCUUUAUUCACAACUAUUUACUUUCGGUUCAUUUUCAAAGAGUCGCGUUCCUUAAGAUUGGAGCGCUAAGUGGGUGAUAAACUUCAUCUAAAGCUAAAUACUAACGAGAUUCCGAUAGCGUACAAGUACCGUGAGGGAAAGUUGAAAAGAACUUUGAAAAGAGAGUUAAAAGGAACUGAAAUUGCUGAAAGGGAAGCGGAGAGAUUCAACGGUCUAGCGAAUCUUCUGCGUGCUUGGAUAUUGCAUCCUCGAGUGUGCGGUUGAGAUUUGCGGUGACUCUGGAAGCGAUUGUACAAGCAGAUUACAAUAUUGAUAGGUUCUAUAAUUAGGGCCAUGUCUUUAAUGUCUUCAGCUUGUGUGAUCUAUGUAAUUCUAACUCAGCAUUAAUUGUCGAGUUAUACUCUUCCAGACAUGUUGAUUCUCUCCUCCCCGUCUUGAAACACGGACCAAGGAGUCUACUUUAUGUGCGAGUACAAGGGUGGAAAACCUAUGUGCGAAAUGAAAGUAAUAGUUAGGAUGGUUAUUCCUGCACUGACACUCGGCCACUGAGUCGAAGUUGAGCACAUAGAAUAGGACCCGAAAGAUGGUGAACUAUGCCUGAGUAGAAUGAAGUCAGAGGAAACUCUGGUGGAAGUUCGUAGCGAUACUGACGUGCAAAUCGUUCGUCAAACUGGGGUAUAGGGGCGAAAGACCAAUCGAACCAUCUCGUAGCUGGUUCAUUCA